RNAcentral lists this ribosomal RNA (460 nucleotides) under uncultured bacterium. Its description in RNAcentral is "partial 16S ribosomal RNA". It matches the Rfam family "Bacterial small subunit ribosomal RNA", at positions 338 to 795 of the family's 1533-position model. The record is from RNAcentral.
CCUACGGGAGGCAGCAGUGAGGAAUAUUGGUCAAUGGGCUUACGCCUGAACCAGCCAAGUCGCGUGAGGGAAGACUGCACUAUGUGUUGUAAACCUCUUUUGUCAGGGAGCAACGCCGGCUACGUGUAGCCGGACUGAGAGUACCUGAAGAAAAAGCAUCGGCUAACUCCGUGCCAGCAGCCGCGGUAAUACGGAGGAUGCGAGCGUUAUCCGGAUUUAUUGGGUUUAAAGGGUGCGUAGGCGGAAUGCCAAGUCAGCGGUAAAAUCGCGGGGCUCAACCUCGCUCCGCCGUUGAAACUGGCGUGCUUGAGUGGGCGAGAAGUAUGCGGAAUGCGUGGUGUAGCGGUGAAAUGCAUAGAUAUCACGCAGAACUCCGAUUGCGAAGGCAGCAUACCGGCGCCCAACUGACGCUGAAGCACGAAAGCGUGGGUAUCGAACAGGAUUAGAUACCCGGGUAGUC